AUUGAGGAAUCUAUCGUUAGGCGAAAGAGAUGAUGGAUUUGUAAUAAUCUCCGGUAAGCUUACGUGAACCUCCGUAAGCUUGCUCUGCUUCUGAAAACUCCGAGUUUUCUUUUUCUUGACCGAAGGAUACUCGGUGAAUAGAGGCAGAUACAUCU
This is a small nucleolar RNA of Arabidopsis thaliana (thale cress), 155 nucleotides long. NCBI's taxonomy places the organism in Eukaryota, Viridiplantae, Streptophyta, Magnoliopsida, Brassicales, Brassicaceae. The record is from RefSeq.